Micropterus salmoides (largemouth bass) is the source of this 561-nucleotide long non-coding RNA. RefSeq lists it as uncharacterized. The record is from RefSeq and is a predicted model, not a curated record. The transcript is spliced from 2 exons. NCBI's taxonomy places the organism in Eukaryota, Metazoa, Chordata, Actinopteri, Centrarchiformes, Centrarchidae.
UUCUGAAUGACUGAGGUUGUAUGUUUUGCAGCAGUCUGCUGCCCGCCUGUUUUAUCUAGUUUGGCUGAUUCCAAGGUUCCCUGUCUGGAGUGGCAUGAUGUGGUGUUCCUUACAGAGCACCCUGUGUUAAGAUAUGAGAAGCUUAAGGAGCAACAAGUAGGGUAUGAUGACUGCCUGAGUGAUUCUAGUGGUUGGCUUGUGGUGGAGGCUAGGCACGCUGGUGUGGGUUCCUUCACCGACUAGUGUUAACGGCACUGGGACACGAUUUGGUGGUAACUCGAUUUGCAGUGAACCAGUUUGCAGUGACUAUUGAUUGCAGUGGGCACAUGCGAUGGGUAAGUUGGUGCACCCCUGGAGUACACCCUUAGUUUGCCUCUCCAGAACUGGACCUGGCCACCCCUGCCUUUUUUUUCUUUUGGUUCAAUAAUAGUUAUAACUGGGAGUGUGUUAAAAUUGUUAUACUUUUAUAUUCCAUUGUAACUUGAUUAGUUGUAUUAUUGACCAUCCUCUCUUCAGGCACUUCCAGUUACCAAUUAUCAAUAAAUGAAUUAUUCUUUUGGA